RNAcentral lists this long non-coding RNA (824 nucleotides) under Pan troglodytes (chimpanzee). RNAcentral's name for it is "long non-coding RNA NONPTRT018471". Lineage: Eukaryota; Metazoa; Chordata; Mammalia; Primates; Hominidae. The record is from RNAcentral.
CACCCACCUUGGCCUCCUAAAGUACUAGGAUUACAGGCAUGAGCCACCAUGCCUGAGCUACACGCUCAUGGUAAAAACAUGUCUCUGGAGGCUGUCUUUGGGAUUCCUCAACUUAUUUUGUGUUAUAAUGGAUGUACCACAGUUUGUUUAUCCAUUCACUUAACCUCAGGCUAAUGGAGUACCUGCUUCUAAAGUUCUAAAUCAAGUGAAUCCCUUAUGGUAGCAGCAACAGCAGCCAAACUUACUGUUUUCUCAGAAUGCCCCACUUUGCUGGGCAACAGAGCUGGGUGGGGGUGAUGGGAACAGCCUUGUGCAAAAACACCACAGAUUGCACAGUUCUUACCUGAAAAGUUCAGUAGUUUUCACGAAUAAAUGCUUCUGAUUUUGUUGUAUUCCUUAGGACAAAUUCUGGAGUACUAAAGUGAUUGUUUUUGAAUUUUGUCCAAUUUUAGGAUUCCUUUUGAGGGAGGUUUCUUAACGUCCUCACUCUGUCAUACUGGAAGCCAGAAAUUAUUUUUUUUCAGUAGGCAGGAAGGAGAGUAUCUGAUUAUUGUACUUCUGUUAAAUUAACUUAUUUAUUAAAAUAUUUAGAUGGGUUCCAAGCCAGACUUUGUUAUUUAUCUAUUUAUUUUUUAGAGACAGGGUCUUGCUUUGUCACCCAGGCUAGAGUACAGUGGCUCAGUCAUAGCUCACUGUAACUUCAAACUCUUGGGCUCAAGCAAUCCUCCUGCCUCAGCCUCCCAAGUAGCCAGGACUAUAGGUGUGUGCCACUGUGCCUGGCUAAUCUUUUUUAAAAUAUUUUUUUGUAGAGAUGGGGUCUUGCU